GAUAAACGCUGGCGGCGUGCUUUAUGCAUGCAAGUCGAACGGUCUCGAUUUAUCGAGAUAGUGGCGAAUGGGUGAGUAACAGGUAAGUAACCUACCCCUAAGUGGGGAAUAACCUCGGGAAACCGGGGCUAAUACCUCAUGUGGUGGUGGAGGUAAUGCUUCAUCACUAAAGCCUUCGGGUGCUUGGGGAGGGGCUUGCCUCUGAUUAGCUAGUUGGUAGGGUAACGGCUUACCAAGGCGACGAUCGGUAGCUGGUCUGAGAGGAUGGUCAGCCACACUGGGACUGAGACACGGCCCAGACUCCUACGGGAGGCAGCAGCAAGGAAUUUUGUGCAAUGGGCGAAAGCCUGACACAGCAACGCCGCGUGGGGGGUGAAGGCCUUCGGGUCGUAAACCCCUUUUCUCAGGGAAGAAUAAUGACGGUACCUGAGGAAUAAGCCUCGGCUAACUACGUGCCAGCAGCCGCGGUAAUACGUAGGAGGCGAGCGUUAUCCGAAUUUACUGGGCGUAAAGAGGGCGUAGGCGGCCUUUCAAGUCGGAUGUGAAAUUUCCCGGCUUAACCGGGAGGGGUCAUCCGAUACUGUUGGGCUAGAGGGCAGCAAGGGAAGGUAGAAUUCCCGGUGUAGUGGUGAAAUGCGUAGAUAUCGGGAGGAAUACCAGUGGCGAAGGCGGCCUUCUGGGCUGUUUCUGACGCUGAGGCCCGAAAGUGUGGGUAGCGAACAGGAUUAGAUACCCUGGUAGUCCACACCAUAAACGAUGGACACUAGGUAUAGGGAGUAUCGACCCUCUCUGUGCCGAAGCUAACGCCUUAAGUGUCCCGCCUGGGGACUACGGCCGCAAGGCUA
This 845-nucleotide ribosomal RNA is filed under the name uncultured Chloroflexota bacterium. Its description in RNAcentral is "bacterial SSU rRNA". It matches the Rfam family "Bacterial small subunit ribosomal RNA", at positions 28 to 896 of the family's 1533-position model. The record is from RNAcentral. Lineage: Bacteria; Bacillati; Chloroflexota.